This 1198-nucleotide ribosomal RNA is filed under the name Latilactobacillus curvatus. RNAcentral describes it as "bacterial SSU rRNA". It matches the Rfam family "Bacterial small subunit ribosomal RNA", at positions 41 to 1207 of the family's 1533-position model. The record is from RNAcentral. Lineage: Bacteria; Bacillati; Bacillota; Bacilli; Lactobacillales; Lactobacillaceae.
GGGGGGCUAUCUGCAGUCGAACGCACUCUCGUUAGAUUGAAGAAGCUUGCUUCUGAUUGAUAACAUUCUGAGUGAGUGGCGGACGGGUGAGUAACACGUGGGUAACCUGCCCUAAAGUGGGGGAUAACAUUUGGAAACAGAUGCUAAUACCGCAUAAAACCUAGCACCGCAUGGUGCAAGGUUGAAAGAUGGUUUCGGCUAUCACUUUAGGAUGGACCCGCGGUGCAUUAGUUAGUUGGUGAGGUAAAGGCUCACCAAGACCGUGAUGCAUAGCCGACCUGAGAGGGUAAUCGGCCACACUGGGACUGAGACACGGCCCAGACUCCUACGGGAGGCAGCAGUAGGGAAUCUUCCACAAUGGACGAAAGUCUGAUGGAGCAACGCCGCGUGAGUGAAGAAGGUUUUCGGAUCGUAAAACUCUGUUGUUGGAGAAGAACGUAUUUGAUAGUAACUGAUCAGGUAGUGACGGUAUCCAACCAGAAAGCCACGGCUAACUACGUGCCAGCAGCCGCGGUAAUACGUAGGUGGCAAGCGUUGUCCGGAUUUAUUGGGCGUAAAGCGAGCGCAGGCGGUUUCUUAAGUCUGAUGUGAAAGCCUUCGGCUCAACCGAAGAAGUGCAUCGGAAACUGGGAAACUUGAGUGCAGAAGAGGACAGUGGAACUCCAUGUGUAGCGGUGAAAUGCGUAGAUAUAUGGAAGAACACCAGUGGCGAAGGCGGCUGUCUGGUCUGUAACUGACGCUGAGGCUCGAAAGCAUGGGUAGCAAACAGGAUUAGAUACCCUGGUAGUCCAUGCCGUAACGAUGAGUGCUAGGUGUUGGAGGGUUUCCGCCCUUCAGUGCCGCAGCUAACGCAUUAAGCACUCCGCCUGGGGAGUACGACCGCAAGGUUGAAACUCAAGGAAUUGACGGGGGGCCCGCACAAGCGGUGGAGCAUGUGGUUUAAUUCGAAGCAACGCGAGAACCUUACCAGGUCUUGACAUCCUUUGACCACUCUAGAGAUAGAGCUUUUCCCUUUCGGGGACAAAGUGACAGUGGGUGCAUGGUUGUCGUCAGCUCGUGUCGUGAGAUGUUGGGUAGUCCCGCACGAGCGCCACCCAUUAUACUAGUGCCAGCAUUAGUUGGGCACCUCUAGUGAAGACUGCUGUGACCAAACGGAAGUAGGUGAGGGACGACUCAAUUCAUCUAGGCCCCCUUAAUA